UGAAGCCUUUCGGGGUGGAUUAGUGGCGAACGGGUGAGUAACACGUGGGCAAUCUGCCCUUCACUCUGGGACAAGCCCUGGAAACGGGGUCUAAUACCGGAUAACACUCUGUCCCGCAUGGGACGGGGUUAAAAGCUCCGGCGGUGAAGGAUGAGCCCGCGGCCUAUCAGCUUGUUGGUGGGGUAAUGGCCUACCAAGGCGACGACGGGUAGCCGGCCUGAGAGGGCGACCGGCCACACUGGGACUGAGACACGGCCCAGACUCCUACGGGAGGCAGCAGUGGGGAAUAUUGCACAAUGGGCGAAAGCCUGAUGCAGCGACGCCGCGUGAGGGAUGACGGCCUUCGGGUUGUAAACCUCUUUCAGCAGGGAAGAAGCGAGAGUGACGGUACCUGCAGAAGAAGCGCCGGCUAACUACGUGCCAGCAGCCGCGGUAAUACGUAGGGCGCAAGCGUUGUCCGGAAUUAUUGGGCGUAAAGAGCUCGUAGGCGGCUUGUCACGUCGGAUGUGAAAGCCCGGGGCUUAACCCCGGGUCUGCAUUCGAUACGGGCUAGCUAGAGUGUGGUAGGGGAGAUCGGAAUUCCUGGUGUAGCGGUGAAAUGCGCAGAUAUCAGGAGGAACACCGGUGGCGAAGGCGGAUCUCUGGGCCAUUACUGACGCUGAGGAGCGAAAGCGUGGGGAGCGAACAGGAUUAGAUACCCUGGUAGUCCACGCCGUAAACGUUGGGAACUAGGUGUUGGCGACAUUCCACGUCGUCGGUGCCGCAGCUAACGCAUUAAGUUCCCCGCCUGG
This 791-nucleotide ribosomal RNA is filed under the name Streptomyces griseus. RNAcentral describes it as "bacterial SSU rRNA". It matches the Rfam family "Bacterial small subunit ribosomal RNA", at positions 75 to 876 of the family's 1533-position model. The record is from RNAcentral. Lineage: Bacteria; Bacillati; Actinomycetota; Actinomycetes; Kitasatosporales; Streptomycetaceae.